AUACGUAGGGGGCAAGCGUUAUCCGGAUUUACUGGGUGUAAAGGGAGCGUAGACGGCACUGCAAGUCUGGAGUGAAAGGCUACGGCUUAACCGUAGUAAGCCUUGGAAACUUAUUGGCUUGAGUGCAGGAGAGGUAAGUGGAAUUCCUAGUGUAGCGGUGAAAUGCGUAGAUAUUAGGAGGAACACCAGUGGCGAAGGCGACUUACUGGACUGUAACUGACGCUGAGGCACGAAAGCGUGGGGAGCGAACAGGAUUAGAUACCCUGGUAGUCCACGCCGUAAACGAUGAGUGCUAGGUGUCGGGGGCGACAGCCCUCGGUGCCGCAGCUAACGCAUUAAGCACUCCGCCUGGGGAGUACGACCGCAAGGUUGAA
This 374-nucleotide ribosomal RNA is filed under the name uncultured bacterium. Its description in RNAcentral is "bacterial SSU rRNA". It matches the Rfam family "Bacterial small subunit ribosomal RNA", at positions 523 to 898 of the family's 1533-position model. The record is from RNAcentral.